GGCUCACGUUGAACGCUAGCUACAGGCUUAACACAUGCAAGUCGAGGGGCAGCAUGGUCUUAGCUUGCUAAGGCCGAUGGCGACCGGCGCACGGGUGAGUAACACGUAUCCAACCUGCCGUCUACUCUUGGACAGCCUUCUGAAAGGAAGAUUAAUACAAGAUGGCAUCAUGAGUCCGCAUGUUCACAUGAUUAAAGGUAUUCCGGUAGACGAUGGGGAUGCGUUCCAUUAGAUAGUAGGCGGGGUAACGGCCCACCUAGUCUUCGAUGGAUAGGGGUUCUGAGAGGAAGGUCCCUCACAUUGGAACUGAGACACGGUCCAAACUCCUACGGGAGGCAGCAGUGAGGAAUAUUGGUCAAUGGGCGAGAGCCUGAACCAGCCAAGUAGCGUGAAGGAUGACUGCCCUAUGGGUUGUAAACUUCUUUUAUAAAGGAAUAAAGUCGGGUAUGGAUACCCGUUUGCAUGUACUUUAUGAAUAAGGAUCGGCUAACUCCGUGCCAGCAGCCGCGGUAAUACGGAGGAUCCGAGCGUUAUCCGGAUUUAUUGGGUUUAAAGGGAGCGUAGAUGGAUGUUUAAGUCAGUUGUGAAAGUUUGCGGCUCAACCGUAAAAUUGCAGUUGAUACUGGAUAUCUUGAGUGCAGUUGAGGCAGGCGGAAUUCGUGGUGUAGCGGUGAAAUGCUUAGAUAUCACGAAGAACUCCGAUUGCGAAGGCAGCCUGCUAAGCUGCAACUGACAUUGAGGCUCGAAAGUGUGGGUAUCAAACAGGAUUAGAUACCCUGGUAGUCCACACGGUAAACGAUGAAUACUCGCUGUUUGCGAUAUACAGCAAGCGGCCAAGCGAAAGCGUUAAGUAUUCCACCUGGGGAGUACGCCGGCAACGGUGAAACUCAAAGGAAUUGACGGGGGCCCGCACAAGCGGAGGAACAUGUGGUUUAAUUCGAUGAUACGCGAGGAACCUUACCCGGGCUUAAAUUGCAGAUGAAUUACGGUGAAAGCCGUAAGCCGCAAGGCAUCUGUGAAGGUGCUGCAUGGUUGUCGUCAGCUCGUGCCGUGAGGUGUCGGCUUAAGUGCCAUAACGAGCGCAACCCUUGUUGUCAGUUACUAACAGGUUCCGCUGAGGACUCUGACAAGACUGCCAUCGUAAGAUGUGAGGAAGGUGGGGAUGACGUCAAAUCAGCACGGCCCUUACGUCCGGGGCUACACACGUGUUACAAUGGGGGGUACAGAGGGCCGCUACCACGCGAGUGGAUGCCAAUCCCCAAAACCUCUCUCAGUUCGGACUGGAGUCUGCAACCCGACUCCACGAAGCUGGAUUCGCUAGUAAUCGCGCAUCAGCCACGGCGCGGUGAAUACGUUCCCGGGCCUUGUACACACCGCC
RNAcentral lists this ribosomal RNA (1378 nucleotides) under uncultured bacterium. RNAcentral describes it as "16S ribosomal RNA". It matches the Rfam family "Bacterial small subunit ribosomal RNA", at positions 21 to 1394 of the family's 1533-position model. The record is from RNAcentral.